GCCGGGGUGGUGGAACUUGGUAGACACAAGGGACUUAAAAUCCCUUGGACCUUAGCGUCCGUGCCGGUUCGAGUCCGGCCCUCGGCA
RNAcentral lists this transfer RNA (87 nucleotides) under Candidatus Tectimicrobiota bacterium. Its description in RNAcentral is "tRNA-Leu". It matches the Rfam family "tRNA". From Rfam's summary of the family: Transfer RNA (tRNA) molecules are approximately 80 nucleotides in length. Their secondary structure includes four short double-helical elements and three loops (D, anti-codon, and T loops). The record is from RNAcentral. Lineage: Bacteria; Pseudomonadati; Candidatus Tectimicrobiota.